Molecule: ribosomal RNA, 507 nt
Filed under: Peschetius toxophorus
Lineage: Eukaryota; Metazoa; Arthropoda; Insecta; Coleoptera; Dytiscidae
Description: partial 16S ribosomal RNA
Rfam family: Bacterial large subunit ribosomal RNA (bases 384-507)
Source: RNAcentral
GUCCUUUAGAGUAGAAUUUUAGGUUUAACCUGCCCACUGAUUUAAAUUAAAUGGCCGCAGUAUAUUGACUGUGCAAAGGUAGCAUAAUCAUUAGUUUUUUAAUUAAAAGCUUGUAUGAAUGGUUGGACGAGAUAUAAUCUGUCUUUAUUUAAUUAUUAGAAUUUAAUUUUUAAGUUAAAAAGCUUAAAUAUAAUUAAAAGACGAGAAGACCCUAUAGAUCUUUAUAUUUAAUAUUAUAGUUUUUUUAAUGAUUAUUUUAUUUAUUAUAAUAUAAAAUAUUUUAUUGGGGUAAUAAGAAAAUUAAAAUAAUUUUUCUUUUAUAAUACUUUGAUAAAUGAAUUUAUGAUCCAUUGUUUAUGAUUAAAAGAUUAAGUUACCUUAGGGAUAACAGCGUAAUUUUUUUAGAGAGUUCAUAUCGAUAAAAAAGAUUGCGACCUCGAUGUUGGAUUAAAAAUUAUUUUAGGUGAAGAAGUUUAAAAAUUUGGUCUGUUCGACCAUUGAAUUUUU